This 183-nucleotide ribosomal RNA is filed under the name uncultured bacterium. RNAcentral describes it as "partial 16S ribosomal RNA". It matches the Rfam family "Bacterial small subunit ribosomal RNA", at positions 1318 to 1500 of the family's 1533-position model. The record is from RNAcentral.
GCAUGAAGUCGGAAUUGCUAGUAAUCGCGGAUCAGAAUGCCGCGGUGAAUACGUUCCCGGGUCUUGUACACACCGCCCGUCACACCAUGGGAGUCGGAAAUGCCCGAAGUCCGUGACCCAACCGCAAGGAGGGAGCAGCCGAAGGCAGGUCGGAUGACUGGGGUGAAGUCGUAACAAGGUAUC